RNAcentral lists this long non-coding RNA (229 nucleotides) under Elaeis guineensis (African oil palm). RNAcentral describes it as "long non-coding RNA (EGUI_LNC017108)". Lineage: Eukaryota; Viridiplantae; Streptophyta; Magnoliopsida; Arecales; Arecaceae. The record is from RNAcentral.
CAAUACUUACACACACUCUAACCAGAGAUUUUUUGAACUCAAUCUUACAAAUCACAUAAGACUACUCCUCAUCUAUCGAGGUCGAUAGAUCCCAUCUAAAUACACCUACUCAAACAGCGAAUCUGAACCUACUAUAGCUAAUAUACACAGCAAGGAUCUGAAUGGCUCGGAACCAAAAGAACGUAUGGUCAAAUUAGAGUAGCCUCGCUAUGAAUAACUGAUACACCGC